GUGCCAGCAGUUGCGGUUAUACAUAUAGAACAAGUAAUAAACAUUUAUGGUUUAAAGGGUCAGUAGAAUUGUAUAUAUAUAUAUACUAGAGUAUAUAUUUAUAUGUAUAAUAUAAGAAUAUGAGUAGAUGUUAAAUUCACUAUAUACAUAUUAGAAUACCAUUAUAUGAAAAUAAUAUACAAUAUAUAUACUAACAUCGAGUGACGAAACUUAGAGUAGCGAAAUGGGUUAGUCAACCAUAUAGUUCUAAAUGUAAACAAUGUAUACUAUAAUAAUAACAUAAUAUUACUAUAUAUAUCAAUUAUAACAUAAUAUUAUUAUAUAUAUAUUUAUUAUAGUAUAAUAUUAUUAUAUAACAUUAAUAUUUAACAUAUUUUGUUAAAAAUAUAAAAAUUUUCUAAUAAAAAAAGAAAAAUAAAAUGAAAAAAUGAAUAAAAGAUAAAAUUUAAGUAUAUAUAUAUAUAUAUUAUGAUAUUAUUAUAAGUGAAAGCGUAAGUAUAUCACCUAAGGAGUACUAUUAUACAUAGAAACUUAAAACAAUAGACGGUUUAAAUUAUUAACAGUGGGCUAUGUUAUUUAAU
RNAcentral lists this ribosomal RNA (581 nucleotides) under Diddensiella caesifluorescens. RNAcentral describes it as "partial small subunit ribosomal RNA". The record is from RNAcentral. Lineage: Eukaryota; Fungi; Ascomycota; Dipodascomycetes; Dipodascales; Trichomonascaceae.